RNAcentral lists this signal recognition particle RNA (88 nucleotides) under Nannocystaceae bacterium. RNAcentral's name for it is "signal recognition particle sRNA small type". It matches the Rfam family "Bacterial small signal recognition particle RNA". From Rfam's summary of the family: The signal recognition particle (SRP) is a universally conserved ribonucleoprotein involved in the co-translational targeting of proteins to membranes. Archaeal SRP consists of a 7S RNA and homologues of the eukaryotic SRP19 and SRP54 proteins. The record is from RNAcentral. Lineage: Bacteria; Pseudomonadati; Myxococcota; Nannocystales; Nannocystaceae.
UGUGCCCCGAGCGACGGUUUUCUCGCCAACCCCGUCAGGACCGGAAGGUAGCAGCGGUAACGAGAAGCCGGGUGCUCGGGGCCUUUUA